AGGACGAACGCUGGCGGCGUGCUUAACACAUGCAAGUCGAGCGGAAAGGCCCUUCGGGGUACUCGAGCGGCGAACGGGUGAGUAACACGUGAGCAAUCUGCCCUUAGCUUCGGGAUAGCUCCGGGAAACCGGAAUUAAUACCGAAUAUGACUUCGGCCGACAUCGGCCUUGGUGGAAAGUUUUUCGGCUAGGGAUGAACUCGCGGCCUAUCAGCUUGUUGGUGGGGUAAUGGCCUACCAAGGCGACGACGGGUAGCCGGCCUGAGAGGGCGACCGGCCACACUGGGACUGAGACACGGCCCAGACUCCUACGGGAGGCAGCAGUGGGGAUAUUGCGCAAUGGGCGAAAGCCUGAUGCAGCGACGCCGCGUGAGGGAUGAAGGCCUUCGGGUUGUAAACCUCUUUCAGCAGGGAAGAAGCGAAAAUGACGGUACCUGCAGAAGAAGCACCGGCUAACUACGCGCCAGCAGCCGC
RNAcentral lists this ribosomal RNA (473 nucleotides) under uncultured bacterium. RNAcentral's name for it is "SSU rRNA". It matches the Rfam family "Bacterial small subunit ribosomal RNA", at positions 26 to 518 of the family's 1533-position model. The record is from RNAcentral.